RNAcentral lists this ribosomal RNA (497 nucleotides) under Streptococcus sp. oral clone BP2-92. Its description in RNAcentral is "bacterial SSU rRNA". It matches the Rfam family "Bacterial small subunit ribosomal RNA", at positions 36 to 509 of the family's 1533-position model. Lineage: Bacteria; Bacillati; Bacillota; Bacilli; Lactobacillales; Streptococcaceae. The record is from RNAcentral.
CUGGCGCGUGCCUAAUACAUGCAGUAGAACGCACAGUUUAUACCGUAGCUUGCUACACCAUAGACUGUGAGUUGCGAACGGGUGAGUAACGCGUAGGUAACCUGCCUGGUAGCGGGGGAUAACUAUUGGAAACGAUAGCUAAUACCGCAUAAUAUUAAUUAUUGCAUGAUAAUUGAUUAAAAGGUGCAAUUGCACCACUACCAGAUGGACCUGCGUUGUAUUAGCUAGUAGGUGAGGUAACGGCUCACCUAGGCGACGAUACAUAGCCGACCUGAGAGGGUGAUCGGCCACACUGGGACUGAGACACGGCCCAGACUCCUACGGGAGGCAGCAGUAGGGAAUCUUCGGCAAUGGACGAAAGUCUGACCGAGCAACGCCGCGUGAGUGAAGAAGGUUUUCGGAUCGUAAAGCUCUGUUGUAAGAGAAGAACGGGUGUGAGAGUGGAAAGUUCACACUGUGACGGUAUCUUACCAGAAAGGGACAGGUAACUACGUGCC